This 222-nucleotide unclassified non-coding RNA is filed under the name Hevea brasiliensis (rubber tree). Lineage: Eukaryota; Viridiplantae; Streptophyta; Magnoliopsida; Malpighiales; Euphorbiaceae. The record is from RNAcentral.
GAUCGAUGGCGCAGUCAAUAUCACCGGCCUCCAAAGAGCGCCUGAUCUGGCGGAUGAUCAACCUGGAAUGGUAAGAGGAGGAAGAAAGGGAGGAAGGGGAAGAAGGUGGGGAGGAUGAAAGGGAAUCCUCAAUCAAGUUCUCUGAUCUAGCGAAGUCGAUGAUUAGGGCAUCGAGAGCUUCCCAGUUCAAAGGGGUGGAGUCCAUUUGGAAGGAAGAGGGUA